Molecule: long non-coding RNA, 1594 nt
Filed under: Piliocolobus tephrosceles (Ugandan red Colobus)
Lineage: Eukaryota; Metazoa; Chordata; Mammalia; Primates; Cercopithecidae
Description: lncRNA (ENSPTEG00000018068.1)
Source: RNAcentral
UGAUGAUGAUGAUGAUGAUGAGGAGGAUGAUGAAGAUGAUGAGGAUGAUAAUUAUAAUUUUGAAUCAAUCGAUGAAAAAAAAAUUGGAAAAAAUAAAGAUGAUAUUGUUAAUGAUGAUGGUUCAUAUAAUGAAAAUGACAAAAAUGACAAAAAUGAAAAAAAUGAAAAAAAUGACAAAAAUGACAAAACUGACAAGACAAAAAAAAAAAAUUAUGGUACCAUGUUUGAGGAAAUGGAAGAAGGGUAUCAUGAAGAAAAAACAUUAUGGGCCUUUUUACCACAUGGAGUAAAUAUAUGUUGCUCAAAAAAUUUUAAUCAAUUAUUCGAUUUCGAUUUAAAUGAACAAACAAGUAAAACUAACAAUGAAUACUUAUCACAUAAUAAUACUACUACAGUUACAAAUACAUUACCUUAUUACUAUUAUGAUUUAGCCAAACAAGGCAAAUCAAGAUUUAAUUUUAACGUAGAAUUAAGUUACUCCUUAUUAGAUUUGUUUGUACCUAUAUGUAAGUAUAAACAAGCUUCUUCCAAAGUAAAUCCUACAUGGGAUCUUUUAAAUAAAAAAAAAAGAGAUAUUGAUAUUUUGUAUUUAUACAAUACAACUGCAAAUAAUUACAACGAUUUUUUAAUUCAAAAAAUAAUGGAUUAUAUAUAUAACAACAAUAUAAAUGAUUUAAAAAAAAAGAUUUAUAAAUAUGAAGUAGAUUUUUAUUAUUGGAAAGUAUGGGGAUUACAAACAACACAUAAAAUUAUAAAUAACAAAAUGAAUGAAUAUAAUAAAUUAUUAAAAAGAAGUAAAGUAUGUGUUAUUAGUUCCAAAUUUUUGGGUAUGUUAAAUAAACUUGUAAUCGAUGCAAUGUUUAAUGGUUGUAUUGUUAUUACAGAUAGAAGUCAUAAUAAAGAUAUAAACAAAUAUAUAGUAUCAACACAUAUACCAUUUGAGUAUUAUGAAAUACCUAAUUUAAUUUAUAAUAUUAGUGAUAGUAUGCAUACUUUAUCUAAUAACUUAAUUACAUUAAUUAAAAAAACACUUAGUGAAAUAAAUCAAGGUAAAAAAAAAGAAACACAAAUACAAGCUUUUGAAACAGUUUUAAAUACUUAUACAUAUCAUGGUCUUAUAUUAAAUUGGAUUAUACCAACAUUAUAUUUCCAUUAUAAUAAAGACAAAUAUGAAAUGUAUAAUAAUUAUUUUAUUUUACCUCAAUAUUUCGAUGAUAUUAUUUCAAAAACAUUAAAAUCGAGUAGUGCACAAAGAGAGAAAAUUAUUGCAAAUAUAGAUAUGUCCUUGCAAGAAGAUUUUAUAAUGAAUAGUAAUGAAGUUAUUAUAUGGUUUAUAAUAUGGAUACUUAUAUUUUCGCUUAUAAUUUUUUAUUUAAUAAAAAACAGUAGUUUUACAAAUUAUUUUUUUUAAGUUUCGUAAAAUUUAUUGAUAAAAGCGGGGGUGUUGUUUACCCAUAUUCAUAUACAUCAAAAAUGGUACAUUUUUUAAUCCAUAUAACUACUGAUCAAUAUUACUUAUUUUAUAACGAUAUAAAUUAAUCAGUUAAUUGUUCUAACCUUUCUUGUCGACACUUGUUUUUUUUUUUUUUUUUUU